UAGGGAAUUUUCGUCAAUGGGGGGAACCCUGAACGAGCAAUGCCGCGUGUGUGAAGAAGGUCUUCGGAUCGUAAAGCACUGUUGUAAGUGAAGAAUGCCAUAUAGAGGAAAUGCUAUGUGGGUGACGGUAGCUUACCAGAAAGCCACGGCUAACUACGUGCCAGCAGCCGCGGUAAUACGUAGGUGGCAAGCGUUAUCCGGAAUCAUUGGGCGUAAAGGGUGCGUAGGUGGCACGAUAAGUCUGAAGUAAAAGGCAACAGCUCAACUGUUGUAUGCUUUGGAAACUGUCGAGCUAGAGUGCAGAAGAGGGCGAUGGAAUUCCAUGUGUAGCGGUAAAAAUGCGUAGAUAUAUGGAGGAACACCAGUGGCGAAGGCGGUCGCCUGGUCUGUAACUGACACUGAUGCACGAAAGCGUGGGGAGCAAAUAAGAUUAGAUACC
Molecule: ribosomal RNA, 439 nt
Filed under: uncultured bacterium
Lineage: Bacteria
Description: bacterial SSU rRNA
Rfam family: Bacterial small subunit ribosomal RNA
Source: RNAcentral